ACACCGGCGGCCCCGAGUGGUGAUCGUGAUUAUUGGGUCUAAAGGGUCCGUAGCCGGUUUGGUCAGUCCUCCGGGAAAUCUGACAGCUCAACUGUUAGGCUUUCGGGGGAUACUGCCAGACUUGGAACCGGGAGAGGUAAGAGGUACUACAGGGGUAGGAGUGAAAUCUUGUAAUCCCUGUGGGACCACCUGCGGCGAAGGCGUCUUACCAGAACGGGUUCGACGGUGAGGGACGAAAGCGUGGGGGCAC
RNAcentral lists this ribosomal RNA (250 nucleotides) under uncultured bacterium. Its description in RNAcentral is "partial 16S ribosomal RNA". It matches the Rfam family "Archaeal small subunit ribosomal RNA", at positions 473 to 721 of the family's 1478-position model. The record is from RNAcentral.